AACGAACGCUGGCGGCAUGCCUAACACAUGCAAGUCGAACGAGACCUUCGGGUCUAGUGGCGCACGGGUGCGUAACGCGUGGGAACCUGCCCUUAGGUUCGGAAUAACUCCCCGAAAGGGGUGCUAAUACCGGAUAAUGUCUUCGGACCAAAGAUUUAUCGCCUUUGGAUGGGCCCGCGUUGGAUUAGCUAGUUGGUAGGGUAAAAGCCUACCAAGGCGACGAUCCAUAGCUGGUCUGAGAGGAUGAUCAGCCACACUGGGACUGAGACACGGCCCAGACUCCUACGGGAAGCAGCAGUGGGGAAUAUUGGACAAUGGGCGAAAGCCUGAUCCAGCAAUGCCGCGUGAGUGAUGAAGGCCUUAGGGUUGUAAAACUCUUUUACCCGGGAAGAUAAUGACAGUACCGGGAGAAUAAGCUCCGGCUAACUCCGUG
RNAcentral lists this ribosomal RNA (433 nucleotides) under uncultured bacterium. Its description in RNAcentral is "partial 16S ribosomal RNA". It matches the Rfam family "Bacterial small subunit ribosomal RNA", at positions 29 to 507 of the family's 1533-position model. The record is from RNAcentral.